This 126-nucleotide transfer RNA is filed under the name Escherichia coli. RNAcentral's name for it is "tRNA-OTHER". Lineage: Bacteria; Pseudomonadati; Pseudomonadota; Gammaproteobacteria; Enterobacterales; Enterobacteriaceae. The record is from RNAcentral.
AAGCGGCACUGCUCUUUAACAAUUUAUCAGACAAUCUGUGUGGGCACUCGAAGAUACGGAUUCUUAACGUCGCAAGACCGCCCUUUCACGGCGGUAACAGGGGUUCGAAUCCCCUAGGGGACGCCA